This 237-nucleotide ribosomal RNA is filed under the name uncultured bacterium. RNAcentral describes it as "partial 16S ribosomal RNA". It matches the Rfam family "Bacterial small subunit ribosomal RNA", at positions 540 to 776 of the family's 1533-position model. The record is from RNAcentral.
GUUGUCCGGAUUUAUUGGGCGUAAAGAGCGUGUAGGCGGUUAGGUAAGUCCGUUGUGAAAACUCGAGGCUCAACCUCGAGACGCCGAUGGAAACCCCCUAACUAGAGUCCGGAAGAGGAGAGUGGAAUUCCUGGUGUAGCGGUGAAAUGCGCAGAUAUCAGGAAGAACACCCGUGGCUAAGGCGGCUCUCUAGUACGGUACUGACGCUGAGACGCGAAAGCGUGGGGAGCGAACAGG